CUGGAGUCCCAGGUGUUCCCAUUCAGUGAUCAGCACUGAACACAGACUCACCAUGGAGUUGGGGCUGAACUGGCUUUUACUUGUUGCUCUUUUAAAAGGUGUCCAGUGUGAGGUGCAGCUGGUGGAGUCUGGUGGAGGCUUGGUGCAGCCUGGAAGAUCCCUGAAACUCUCCUGUGUAGCCUCUGGAUUUACCUUCAGUAACUACUGGAUGAGCUGGGUCCGCCAGGCCCCAGGGAAGGGGCUGGAGUGGAUUGGAGAAAUCAAAGGAGAUAGUAGCAAAAUAAAUUAUGCAACCUCUGUGAAGGGCUGAUUCACUAUCUCCAGAGACAAUUCCAAAAACACCCUGUACCUGCAAAUGAACAAUCUGAAAUCUGAGGACACAGCCACAUA
Molecule: non-coding RNA, 390 nt
Organism: Nannospalax galili (Upper Galilee mountains blind mole rat)
Lineage: Eukaryota; Metazoa; Chordata; Mammalia; Rodentia; Spalacidae
Source: the annotation of a RefSeq genome assembly